GGCAACGUGGCUGAGUGGUUAAAGCGUAUGACUAGGAUCGAACUAGUUGGUCUAAGAUUCUAGUCCUCUUGUUGUCG
Xylaria sp. FL0933 is the source of this 77-nucleotide non-coding RNA. NCBI's taxonomy places the organism in Eukaryota, Fungi, Ascomycota, Sordariomycetes, Xylariales, Xylariaceae. The record is from the annotation of a GenBank genome assembly.